Molecule: ribosomal RNA, 564 nt
Filed under: Kitasatospora sp. 387B08
Lineage: Bacteria; Bacillati; Actinomycetota; Actinomycetes; Kitasatosporales; Streptomycetaceae
Description: bacterial SSU rRNA
Rfam family: Bacterial small subunit ribosomal RNA
Source: RNAcentral
CAGUGGCGAACGGGUGAGUAACACGUGGGCAAUCUGCCCUGCACUCUGGGACAAGCCCUGGAAACGGGGUCUAAUACCGGAUACGACCUGCUCCUGCAUGGGAGCGGGUGGAAAGCUCCGGCGGUGCAGGAUGAGCCCGCGGCCUAUCAGCUUGUUGGUGGGGUAAUGGCCUACCAAGGCGACGACGGGUAGCCGGCCUGAGAGGGCGACCGGCCACACUGGGACUGAGACACGGCCCAGACUCCUACGGGAGGCAGCAGUGGGGAAUAUUGCACAAUGGGCGAAAGCCUGAUGCAGCGACGCCGCGUGAGGGAUGACGGCCUUCGGGUUGUAAACCUCUUUCAGCAGGGAAGAAGCGAAAGUGACGGUACCUGCAGAAGAAGCACCGGCUAACUACGUGCCAGCAGCCGCGGUAAUACGUAGGGUGCGAGCGUUGUCCGGAAUUAUUGGGCGUAAAGAGCUCGUAGGCGGCCUGUCGCGUCGGUUGUGAAAGCCCGGGGCUUAACCCCGGGUCUGCAGUCGAUACGGGCAGGCUAGAGUUCGGUAGGGGAGAUCGGAAUUCCU